AUGAAGAAGUACAAAGACCACCUCGCCUUGCUGUAUAAGGCGCACGAGAAACUCAAGGAUGAACUGAAUGCGGUGCUGAACCACCCACUAAUGCCGUCAGAAUUUGAAUGAGCAUGGAAGAACCUCGUUCAGAGAUACAACUUGCAAGACGACGAAGUGAUGAAUUCGCUGUGGGAUGACAAGCACGAAUGGAUCUCGACUUACUACAAGAAAAUUUUCUGUUCUUAGAUGACUUCCACACAGAGAAGCGAGAGCAUGAACCGCAUAUUGAAGAAAUUUUUUGUCAAGGAGAAGCAUGAUCUCCAUCUAUUUGCUCAGGAGCUAGACAAGUGCAUUCAGACCAGGAAGGCCGUCGAGCACGCAGAGACAGUAGCAAAUGAGUCAGAGGUAAAAACAACAACCAAGUUUGGGUUCAAAGUUCAGCUAUCAAAAGUGUAUACAAGGGCAGUGUUUGCAGAUUUCAAAGAAACACUCUACCGUAGCACUGCAUUCAGAGCAGAACGGUGCCCUGAGAACCCGACAAAGUAUCUCGUACACCUCUACAACAGAUCGGAUGCAUUUGACUGGGCAAGGCAUAAUUUCCUAGUGGUCGCCGAUGAAAAGAAAGGUGUCUACGAAUGUGAGUGCAAACUCCGGACACACACAGGGCUCUUUUGCGUCCAUGUGUUAUGCAUGCUUUCUCAUUUGAGAGUACUCAAGAUUCCUGAGGUGUACAUCAUGAAAAGAUACACCCGUAACGCAAGAUCAGAUGCAACAUUUGACAGAAGAGACUACAAACAAACAACACCAGAUGGAACCUUGCUUUUUUGCCAUAGAAAAUUGCUAACAGAAAUAGCAAUGGACCUUGCAAAUAGAGCGACAAGGUCUGAUGCUGGGUGCCACAGAGCGUUGUCUGGUAUGAGGGCACUAAUCGAGGAAGUUGACAUGCUCAACGAAGAAGAAGAAGAAGAAGAAGAAGAAGAAGAAGAACAACAACAACAAGAAGAAGAAGAAGAAGAAGAAGAAGAAGAAGAAGAAGAAGAAGAAGAAGAAGAAGAAGAAGAAGAAGAAGAAGAAGAAGAAGAAGAAGAAGAAGAAGAAGAAGAAGAAGAAGAAGCAAAACUAAAGCAAGCAGAGAAAUCCCAGCAUGACAAUAAUGCCGACCAUGUAGAAAAUACUAAACACAACCGAACUGGUGCUAUCAAAAAAGAAACAAUUCUUCCACCUCCUGUUUCAAACACAAGAGGAAGGAAGAAAGGGGGCGACACAACCCAGAAAAAGGUUGCAUGCAAGGAGAAAAAUGAUGACAAAAACAGUAAGCCACAACCUGAGCUGGACAGUGAUGGUCACCCACUGGGAAUAAGAAGGUGCAAAACAUGUAAUGAAAUCAGCGGCCACAAUUCCAGGACAUGUACAAAAAGAAAUGAACAAGAAAAAUGA
RNAcentral lists this ribosomal RNA (1419 nucleotides) under Triticum aestivum (bread wheat). RNAcentral describes it as "partial small subunit ribosomal RNA". The record is from RNAcentral. Lineage: Eukaryota; Viridiplantae; Streptophyta; Magnoliopsida; Poales; Poaceae.